Long non-coding RNA from Rosa rugosa (rugosa rose), 1748 nucleotides. RefSeq lists it as uncharacterized. The record is from RefSeq and is a predicted model, not a curated record. The transcript has 3 exons. Lineage: Eukaryota; Viridiplantae; Streptophyta; Magnoliopsida; Rosales; Rosaceae.
ACGCUUCGCAAACCCUAAAAUCAAUCCAGAAAAAUCCCAAUUCUCUGUUCUUGCGGAAUCAUGGUAUCGCCCGCCGACAAGGCCCAUGCUGUCAGGGCCGCCGGUGAAAUAGUCCUGAAUACUGGAUUCAUUCUAGCCAUCACAAAAUUCACUCAACACUACCUAGUACGCACCAGAGAUGCUAUAAUCAGAAAUAAAGAGUUCGCGAUGGGAGUGAAGGCUUCUGAUGGGGUGAAGCCUUGAAGCAUGGCAUGGGAGUGAAGGCCAAGACUUAAUAUAUAUCUAUUUUUUGUUUACUACAUUAUCCUUAUGGGUGCAUGUAAUGUGAUGGAUGUGCUUGUGUUUUAGGAUGACCUCUCUUGGUAAAAAUUUUAAGACCUUGCACGUUAUGUAUUUUAUCUGAUAUUAGCAGUAGGGUGCAAUGUGCUUUGGCCAUGUCUAAAUAUCUCUUGAUAAAAUUCUCAUUAGGAUUAUAGUAAAUAAUACAAGAUAAACCAUGUAUGGUUGUUGCAAACCCAUAAACCAUGUAUGAUUGUGGCAAACCCAUCUGUAUGUAACUGAAUCAGUACAGGGGUCAUAUUCAUAAUAAACAGCUUUGGCUUGCACAUUGUUGGUUGCAUGCACUAAAGUUAUGAAACAUUGUUUAGACUACUAAGUAGCCUAUGCAUAUAACUGGAAAGAGAACAAAAAAAAAAAACCAAGACUUUGCAGUUACGUGUGCAAUCAAGUUAUAAAAGAGAACAGAGGAGCACAGCAUUACCAAUUUUUUUGCGUGAUACGUUGGUGAUCUCUUAUUUAGGGGGAUUGUUGGGUUGGGUGUCUCUAACUUAGGCUCGCUAUCUGCAUUUCUAAUUGAAGAUGUUGAGGGGCUCUAGUCUAGCUUACUGAUUCUCUGAUGUUGAGUGGAUGCCUAAAAUUAAUCACCUAGAUGAUCAUUGUACAAUUGCUUUCCUGGUGGGACUGGUCAAAGUGAGAUUUUGGCUUCGUCCUGUUAGACUGAAGGAUGCCUACAGUUCUUCUCUUUGUGUGAUUUAUGAAGGGGGAGAAGUUAAAAAUUAAAUGUGUUUUCCUUUAUCUGCCAAUAGCUAAAAGCCUGGCAUAUUUGUAAUCUUGCAGCUUGUAGGAAAGGGUGCUUUAUCUGAAGGAGACAAGUUUUUGUUGAGAGAGAAUUCUCUCGCAUAGGAUGCAUUUAAGUUCCUACUCUAAUCUUUCUUUGAUCCAUAUAUACUUUUCAUUUUGGUUGGGACUGGUAGUCACUAAUGAUCAUUCACCUGUUGUAAGGGUGGACAGAUAUGAUAACUUCUGCCUUUUCUACAAGUCUGUUUGGAUGAUGCGGAAGAUCAUCCAUUUCUUCAAUUUAGCAAAUCAGCUCUAACAAAUUUGAGGAUCAUGCUGAAGGCGAACAACCUCUUGUUGCAAAAUUUAGAAGCUACAUGAAGACUUGACAAAUGGUUUCCAUGCCUUGAGGAUGAAUCGAUGAUUGGACUUGAUACUUCUUUUAGAUGGUUUGUGUUGCUGUUAUAAAUUGCAUGGUGAUGACAAUUGGAGUUACUGUGGUUUCUGUUGUGCAUGAGGAAGUGUUAGGUUAUUGUGAUGCCAUUUUUGCUUUGCUUAUGUGGCGGUUGCUCUAGUUUGGAUUUGUAGUUACAACUUCCUAUCAUUCCCUUCAUGUUUUUACUGGAGACUAGAUUCUAUUCCUCAUGUAUUUAAGCAAUAAGGUAUUCAAGAUUUUUCAUUUUUGAUGGUUC